AUCAUCAAUCCCACGGGUUUCUCACCCGUGUGGACUUGGAACUGGGCGUCUGCCUCCCAAGGCUCGCCUCAAAUGACUUAGUGGGAACUUCUCGACCUACGCCUGACGUGAUAAGUUUCGUCUCGGCCGGUCCUGAGGCCCGCUCACAACCACCAAUCUUUUGA
Molecule: unclassified non-coding RNA, 164 nt
Filed under: uncultured Kockovaella
Lineage: Eukaryota; Fungi; Basidiomycota; Tremellomycetes; Tremellales; Cuniculitremaceae
Description: sequence contains ITS2
Source: RNAcentral